RNAcentral lists this ribosomal RNA (229 nucleotides) under uncultured bacterium. Its description in RNAcentral is "partial 16S ribosomal RNA". It matches the Rfam family "Bacterial small subunit ribosomal RNA", at positions 568 to 796 of the family's 1533-position model. The record is from RNAcentral.
UGCGCAGGCGGACUUUUAAGUCAGUGAUGAAAUCCCGAGGCUCAACCUCGGAACUGCCAUUGAUACUGGAAGUCUUGAAUUUGGUUGAAGUGGGCGGAAUGUAGCAUGUAGCGGUGAAAUGCUUAGAUAUGCUACAGAACACCGAUCGCGAAGGCAGCUCACUAAGCCAAUAUUGACGCUCAGGCACGAAAGCGUGGGGAGCAAACAGGAUUAGAUACCCUGGUAGUCC